GGCUCCAUAGUGUAGUGGUUAGCAUGUCUGCUUUACACGCGGAAGGUCCUGGCUUCGCUCCCCAGGGGAGCCA
This 73-nucleotide transfer RNA is filed under the name Pteropus alecto (black flying fox). It matches the Rfam family "tRNA". Rfam says of the family: Transfer RNA (tRNA) molecules are approximately 80 nucleotides in length. Their secondary structure includes four short double-helical elements and three loops (D, anti-codon, and T loops). Lineage: Eukaryota; Metazoa; Chordata; Mammalia; Chiroptera; Pteropodidae. The record is from Rfam by way of RNAcentral.